Molecule: ribosomal RNA, 460 nt
Filed under: uncultured bacterium
Lineage: Bacteria
Description: partial 16S ribosomal RNA
Rfam family: Bacterial small subunit ribosomal RNA
Source: RNAcentral
CCUACGGGAGGCAGCAGUGAGGAAUAUUGGUCAAUGGGCGCGAGCCUGAACCAGCCAAGUCGCGUGAGGGAGGACGGCCCUACGGGUUGUAAACCUCUUUUGCCGGGGAGCAACGGGCGUCACGUGUGGCGCCACUGAGAGGACCCGGAGAAAAAGCAUCGGCCAACUCCGGGCCAGCAGCCGCGGGAAUACGGGGGAUGCGAGCGUGAGCCGGAUUUAUUGGGUUUAAAGGGUGCGUCGGCGUAUCUGUAAGUCAGUGGUCAAAUUGAGGGGCUCAACCCCUUCCCGCCAUUGAAACUGGCGCUCUUGAGUGGAAGAGAAGUAUGCGGAAUGCGUGGUGUAGCAGUGAAAUGCAUAGAUAUCACGCAGAACCCCGAUUGCGAAGGCAGCAUGCCGGCUUCCGACUGACGCUGAAGCACGAAAGCGUGGGGAUCGAACAGGAUUAGAUACCCGUGUAGUG